RNAcentral lists this ribosomal RNA (497 nucleotides) under uncultured bacterium. RNAcentral describes it as "partial 16S ribosomal RNA". It matches the Rfam family "Bacterial small subunit ribosomal RNA", at positions 28 to 507 of the family's 1533-position model. The record is from RNAcentral.
GAUGAACGCUGGCGGCGUGCCUAAUACAUGCAAGUCGAGCGAACGGACGAGAAGCUUGCUUCUCUGAUGUUAGCGGCGGACGGGUGAGUAACACGUGGAUAACCUACCUAUAAGACUGGGAUAACUUCGGGAAACCGGAACUAAUACCGGAUGAUAUUUUGAACCGCAUGGUUCAAAAGUGAAAGACGGUCUUGCUGUCACUUAUAGAUGGAUCCGCGCUGCAUUAGCUAGUUGGUAAGGUAACGGCUUACCAAGGCAACGAUGCAUAGCCGACCUGAGAGGGUGAUCGGCCACACUGGAACUGAGACACGGUCCAGACUCCUACGGGAGGCAGCAGUAGGGAAUCUUCCGCAAUGGGCGAAAGCCUGACGGAGCAACGCCGCGUGAGUGAUGAAGGUCUUCGGAUCGUAAAACUCUGUUAUUAGGGAAGAGCAUAUGUGUAAGUAACUGUGCACAUCUUGACGGUACCUAAUCAGAAAGCCACGGCUAACUACGUG